This 526-nucleotide ribosomal RNA is filed under the name Naganishia albida. RNAcentral's name for it is "LSU rRNA". It matches the Rfam family "Eukaryotic large subunit ribosomal RNA", at positions 86 to 598 of the family's 3401-position model. The record is from RNAcentral. Lineage: Eukaryota; Fungi; Basidiomycota; Tremellomycetes; Filobasidiales; Filobasidiaceae.
ACGGCGAGUGAAGCGGGAAGAGCUCAAAUUUGAAAUCUGGUAGCCUUCGGUUGCCCGAGUUGUAAUCUAGAGAAGUGUUUUCCGUGCCGGCCCAUGUACAAGUCCCUUGGAACAGGGCGUCAUAGAGGGUGAGAAUCCCGUCCUUGACAUGGACCCCCGGUGCUUUGUGAUACACUUUCAACGAGUCGAGUUGUUUGGGAAUGCAGCUCAAAAUGGGUGGUGAAUUCCAUCUAAAGCUAAAUAUUGGCGAGAGACCGAUAGCGAACAAGUACCGUGAGGGAAAGAUGAAAAGCACUUUGGAAAGAGAGUUAAACAGUACGUGAAAUUGUUGAAAGGGAAACGAUUGAAGUCAGUCAUGCUCUUGGGGACUUACCUCCCUUGAGUGGGGUCAACAUCAGUUUUGAUCGAUGGAUAAAGGCACGGGGAAGGUAGCACUCUCGGGUGAACUUAUAGCCUCGCGUCAUAUACAUUGAUUGGGACUGAGGAACGCAGCAUGCCUUAUGGCCGGGAUUCGUCCACGUACAUG